Long non-coding RNA from Dreissena polymorpha, 765 nucleotides. RefSeq lists it as uncharacterized. The record is from RefSeq and is a predicted model, not a curated record. NCBI's taxonomy places the organism in Eukaryota, Metazoa, Mollusca, Bivalvia, Myida, Dreissenidae. The transcript has 3 exons.
GCAUUUGCCAAGACCGUCUAGUGGACGCAAGUCCAUCCACGUGGUCUUCAUUAUGUUCCAACCUGGUUUUCCAUGUAUGUCUGACUUUGUGAUGGCUCAAUUGAAGAAGCUAGGCUCACAAUACCAAUUUGCACCCAAAGAUGAGAGGUACGUGAAGUGACCACGUCUACACAACGGAACAUACGCCGAUGCUUCGAUUCUACAACGUGUAACCCAGGUACGUAAAGAAACGCUUUUUAUUCAUUCAAUUUAGUAUUCUUAGGGCUGAAGUGAUCUAAAAUAGCAGGAUCCGCGGUGAGCGCAGAAAAGUGUUGAUGCGGUACCAGUUUAUUUAAAAAGUGGAAACCUCAAAGUCCUUAUGUACUUUAAUAAUGAUAUAAGAUCUUAAUUACUACAUUUCGUAUGAUAUGGUGGUUGUAAGACCCCGUCAUAAGUGUUACGUAGCUGUCGCGUGAUAUGAAAAUAUUAUUAAAUGUCGUUAUAAAUGUAUAUGUAUGAUUAUACUACUACUAAGUGUAACACAGCUGUCACCUGUAACGAGGAUCUAAAGAGACUCAUUCAAAAGGUGUAUCCAUCAUGUACCUACAGCAACACAGGUUAAAUACUUUUGUCCUGUAAUUGGACAUAUAUUAAUUAAUUAACAGUGUUGUACACGAAGCAAACUUUACGAUGAAUGUGUCUAUUGUGCUAAAUUCUAAACUCUAUUAAGUCUUGUUCUGAUAAAACUGGGCUUAAUUCAUGUGCGUAAAGUGUCGUCCCAGAUUA